UCUGGAUGGGGAGCAACCUAGUUGUGCGUGUGUAAAGGUAGUGCCAAGAAAAGCGGUGAUCAUGAUGAAAAUCAAUUCCCGGUACCCGAAACCGACACAGGUGGGCAAGUAGAGAAUACUAAGGGGCGCGAGGUAACUCUCUCCAAGGAACUCGGCAAAAUGACCCCGUAACUUAGGGAGAAGGGGUGCCACCGAGAGGUGGUCGCAGUGAAGAGGCCCAGGCGACUGUUUAGCAAAAACAUAGGUCUCUGCAAACUCGAAAGAGGAGGUAUAGGGGCUGACGCCUGCCCAGUGCCGGAAGGUUAAAGAAGUUGGUCAGUCUUAGGAUAAAGCUAGCGACUGAAGCCCCGGUGAACGGCGGCCGUAACUAUAACGGUCCUAAGGUAGCGAAAUUCCUUGUCGGGUAAGUUCCGACCCGCACGAAAGGCGUAACGAUCUGGGCGCUGUCUCGGAGAGAGGCUCGGCGAAAUAGGAUUGUCUGUGAAGAUACGGACUACCUGCAUUUGGACAGAAAGACCCUAUGAAGCUUUACUAUAGCUUGGAAUUGUGUUCGGGCUUCCUGUGCGCAGGAUAGGUGGGAGGCGAAGAAGGUAUUCUUGUGGGGAUACUGGAGCCAACGGUGAGAUACCACUCUCAGGAGGCUAGAAUUCUAACUUAAUUAAGGACAGUUUCAGGUGGGUAGUUUGACUGGGGCGGUCGCCUCCAAAAAGGUAACGGAGGCGUACAAAGGUUCCCUCAGACUGGUUGGAAAUCAGUCGCAGAGUGCAAAGGCAGAAGGGAGCUUGACUGCGAGAAGUACAGUUCGAGCAGGGUGGAAACACGGUCUUAGUGAUCCGACGGUGCUGUGUGGAAGGGCCGUCGCUCAACGGAUAAAAGUUACUCUAGGAUAACAGGCUGAUCUCCCCCAAGAGUUCACAUCGACGGGGAGGUUUGGCACCUCGAUGUCGGCUCAUCGCAACCUGGGGCGGAAGUACGUCCCAAGGGUUGGGCUGUUCGCCCAUUAAAGCAUUACGUGAGCUGGGUUCAGAACGUCGUGAGACAGUUCGGUCCAUAUCCGAUGUAGGCGUGAGAAUAUUGAGAGGAGCCUUCCUUAGUACGAGAGGACCGGGAAGGACGCACCGCUGGUGUACCUGUUAUGAUGCCAAUUGUAAACGCAGGGUAGCCAAGUGCGGAGAGGAUAACCGCUGAAAGCAUCUAAGUGGGAAGCCCACCUCAAGAUGAGUAUUCUGGUGUAAGGUCACGGGAAGACGACCCGUAAAUAGGCACGAGGUGGAAGUGCAGAGAUGUAUGAAGCCGAAGUGUACUAAUAGACCGUCGGCUUGAC
RNAcentral lists this ribosomal RNA (1324 nucleotides) under metagenome. RNAcentral's name for it is "bacterial LSU rRNA". It matches the Rfam family "Bacterial large subunit ribosomal RNA", at positions 1561 to 2925 of the family's 2925-position model. The record is from RNAcentral.